RNAcentral lists this ribosomal RNA (485 nucleotides) under uncultured bacterium. Its description in RNAcentral is "partial 16S ribosomal RNA". It matches the Rfam family "Bacterial small subunit ribosomal RNA", at positions 28 to 507 of the family's 1533-position model. The record is from RNAcentral.
GAUGAACGCUAGCGAUAGGCUUAACACAUGCCAGUCGAGGGGCAGCGAGGGUAGCAAUACCUGUCGGCGACCGGCGCACGGGUGAGUAACGCGUAUGUAACCUGCCCGCAACAGGGGGAUAACCCGGCGAAAGUCGGACUAAUACCGCAUAAAACAGGGGUCCCGCAUGGGAAUAUUUGUUAAAGAUUUAUCGGUUGCGGAUGGGCAUGCGUACCAUUAGGUAGUUGGUGAGGUAACGGCUCACCAAGCCUUCGAUGGUUAGGGGUUCUGAGAGGAAGGUCCCCCACACUGGUACUGAGACACGGACCAGACUCCUACGAGAGGCAGCAGUGAGGAAUAUUGGUCAAUGGGCGAGAGCCUGAACCAGCCAAGUCGCGUGAAGGAUGACUGCCCUAUGGGUUGUAAACUUCUUUUACAAGGGAAUAAAAUGAGAUACGUGUAUUUUAUUGCAUGUACCUUGGGAAUAAGCAUCGGCUAACUCCGUG